RNAcentral lists this ribosomal RNA (328 nucleotides) under Kryptoperidinium foliaceum. RNAcentral's name for it is "partial Bacterial large subunit ribosomal RNA". It matches the Rfam family "Bacterial large subunit ribosomal RNA", at positions 432 to 762 of the family's 2925-position model. The record is from RNAcentral. Lineage: Eukaryota; Dinophyceae; Peridiniales; Kryptoperidiniaceae.
UCCUGUCUGAACAUGGGGGGACCACCCUCCAAGCCUAAAUACUCGUAUGUGACCGAUAGCGAACCAGUACCGUGAGGGAAAGGUGAAAAGAACCCCGGGAGGGGAGUGAAAUAGAUCCUGAAACCGUAUGCGUACAAGCAGUCGGAGCGGACUUGUUCCGUGACGGCGUACCUUUUGUAUAAUGGGUCAUCGACUUGGUCUAUCUAGCAAGCUUAAGCCGUUAGGUGUAGGCGCAGCGAAAGCGAGUCUGAAUAGGGCGCUAUAGUUAGUAGUGGUAGACGCGAAACCGUGUGAUCUACCCAUGGGCAGGUUGAAGCUGUGGUAACAC